Molecule: transfer RNA, 73 nt
Filed under: Mytilus edulis (blue mussel)
Lineage: Eukaryota; Metazoa; Mollusca; Bivalvia; Mytilida; Mytilidae
Also listed under: 1 other name
Rfam family: tRNA
About the family: Transfer RNA (tRNA) molecules are approximately 80 nucleotides in length.
Source: Rfam by way of RNAcentral
AACUAGGUAGCUCAGAUGGAAGAGCAACUCAACAAAGUUGAGGAGGUUCCAGGUUCAAAUCCUGGCCUAGUAU